GUGUUGCAUGAAAGGAGAGAAGGCUAGCACUCCCCUUGACAGGGAUGGAAGAGGCCCUUGGACCUGCACAGCAUGCUUACGGUUAUGGCAUUGCCGCCUACUUCGUGGCAUCUAACCAUCAUUUUUC
Molecule: small nuclear RNA, 127 nt
Organism: Choloepus hoffmanni (Hoffmann's two-fingered sloth)
Lineage: Eukaryota; Metazoa; Chordata; Mammalia; Pilosa; Megalonychidae
Source: Ensembl